Molecule: ribosomal RNA, 1416 nt
Filed under: uncultured bacterium
Lineage: Bacteria
Description: partial 16S ribosomal RNA
Rfam family: Bacterial small subunit ribosomal RNA
Source: RNAcentral
AAGUGGCCCCCCGGUUAAUUACCCCUGGAUUAUCCUCCUUUCAAAACGGGAUUACCGGUUGAAACCGCCCCCUAUUCCCGAAUCCCCUUUUUUUUUUACCUUUUUUUAGAAAUUAUUACCCCCUCUUUCCAGCUUUUGGUUUGAAAAUAAUCCCCCUCCCCUUUACUUAUUUGGGAAGGUAAAACCUCCCCAGGGCACCAUUGGUUACCCUUUCUAAAAGAAUAUUCGCCCCCCUUGAACUUGAACCCCGGCCCAAAUCCCUCCGGAAGGCACCAUGGGGAAUUUUUGCCCAUGGGCCAAAACCUUACCCCACCACCCCCCCUGGAGGAAUAAAGUUUUUCGAUUCUUAACCUUUUGUCAAAGGGAAAAAAUGUUUUUUUUUCAAUUAGGGAAGGCUUUUAACGGUCCCUUCAAAGAAACCCCCGCUUAAUUCCUUCCCACCACCCCCGGUAUUCCGAAGGGGCCAACCUUUAUUGGAAUUUCUUGGGGUUAAACCCCCCUUAGUUGUUUUUUUAAUUCGGGGUUAAAUUCCCCCCGUUCACCGGGGAACCACCUUUGAUUAUUCCUUCAUUGGGUUUUGGAGGGGGGGGGGGAAUUUCCGGGGUUGGGAUUGAAUUCGUUGAUUUUUGGAAGGACCCCGGUGGGGGAGGGGGCCCCCUGGGAGGAAAAUUGCCAUUGGGUUGGGAAACCUUGGGAACCAAAAAGGUUUGAUUCCCUUGUUGUUCAUGCUGUAAACGAUGGGUGCUAGGUGCUGGGGAGAUAAAUUUUCAGUGCCGUAGUUAACGCGUUAAGCACCCCGCCUGGGGAGUACGGUCGCAAGGCUGAAACUCAAAGAAAUUGACGGGGGCCCGCACAAGCGGUGGAGUAUGUGGUUUAAUUCGAUGCAACGCGAAGAACCUUACCCAGGCUUGACAUCCAGGGGACCUCUAGGAAAUUAGAGGGUGCCCUUCGGGGAGCCCUGAGACAGGUGCUGCAUGGCUGUCGUCAGCUCGUGCCGUGAGGUGUUGGGUUAAGUCCCGCAACGAGCGCAACCCUUAUCUUUAGUUGCCAGCGAGUAAAGUUGGGCACUCUAGAGAGACUGCCCCGGUUAACGGGGAGGAAGGUGGGGACGACGUCAAGUCAUCAUGGCCCUUACGCCUGGGGCUACACACGUACUACAAUGGUGCGCACAAAGGGAAGCAAGACCGUGAGGUGGAGCCAAUCCCAAAAAACGCAUCUCAGUCCGGAUUGGAGUCUGCAACUCGACUCCAUGAAGUCGGAAUCGCUAGUAAUUCGAGAUCAGCAUGCUCGGGUGAAUGCGUUCCCGGGCCUUGUACACACCGCCCGUCACACCACGAAAGUUGGUUUUACCCGAAGCCGGCGAGCUAACGAGCAAUCGAGGCAGUCGUCUACGGUAGGUCCGAUGAUUGGGGUGAA